GAUGAACGCUAGCGGCAGGCUUAACACAUGCAAGUCGAGGGGCAACACGGGUAGCAAUACCUGGUGGCGACCGGCGCAAGGGUGCGUAACGCGUGAGCAACAUGCCCUAUACAGGGGGAUAAUCCAGGGAAACUUGGUCUAAUAUCCCAUAGUAUUUAGAGGUGGCAUCACCACUAAAUUAAAGCUUCGGUGGUAUAGGAUUGGCUCGCGUGACAUUAGCUGGAUGGUGGGGUAACGGCUCACCAUGGCGAUGAUGUCUAGGGGUUCUGAGAGGAAGACCCCCCCACACUGGGACUGAGACACGGCCCAGACUCCUACGGGAGGCAGCAGUGAGGAAUAUUGGACAAUGGAUGGAAAUCUGAUCCAGCCAUGCCGCGUGCAGGAAGACGGCCCUAUGGGUUGUAAACUGCUUUUAUAUGGGAGCAAUAAGGUUUACGCGUAGACCGAUGAGAGUACCAUAUGAAUAAGCAUCGGCUAACUCCGU
RNAcentral lists this ribosomal RNA (484 nucleotides) under uncultured bacterium. RNAcentral describes it as "bacterial SSU rRNA". It matches the Rfam family "Bacterial small subunit ribosomal RNA", at positions 28 to 506 of the family's 1533-position model. The record is from RNAcentral.